GAUGAAGAACGCAGCGAAAUGCGAUACGUAGUGUGAAUUGCAGAAUUCAGUGAAUCAUCGAAUCUUUGAACGCACAUUGCACCUCUCGGUAUUCCGGGAGGUAUGCCUGUUCGAGCGUCAUUUGUACCCUCAAGCUCUGCUUGGUGUUGGGUGUUUGUUCCGCCUCUGUGUGUGAACUCGCCUCAAAACAAUUGGCAGCCGGCGUACUUGUUUCGGAGCGCAGCACAUUUUGCGAUCCAGAUCAACGUACAGCGGCAUCCAAGAAGCCUUAUUUAACGCUCUUGACCUCGGAUCAGGUAGGGAUACCCGCUGAACUUAAGCAUAUCAAUAAGCGGAGGC
RNAcentral lists this unclassified non-coding RNA (339 nucleotides) under soil metagenome. RNAcentral's name for it is "partial contains 5.8S ribosomal RNA, internal transcribed spacer 2, and large subunit ribosomal RNA". The stretch from base 1 to 120 matches the Rfam family "5.8S ribosomal RNA", at positions 35 to 154 of the family's 154-position model. The record is from RNAcentral.